CGACGAUGAUCAGGAGCUUGCUCCUGUGAUUAGUGGCGAACGGGUGAGUAACACGUGAGUAACCUGCCCCUGACUCUGGGAUAAGCGUUGGAAACGACGUCUAAUACUGGAUAUGAUCACUGGUCGCAUGGCCUGGUGGUGGAAAGAUUUUUUGGUUGGGGAUGGACUCGCGGCCUAUCAGCUUGUUGGUGAGGUAAUGGCUCACCAAGGCGACGACGGGUAGCCGGCCUGAGAGGGUGACCGGCCACACUGGGACUGAGACACGGCCCAGACUCCUACGGGAGGCAGCAGUGGGGAAUAUUGCACAAUGGGCGAAAGCCUGAUGCAGCAACGCCGCGUGAGGGAUGACGGCCUUCGGGUUGUAAACCUCUUUUAGUAGGGAAGAAGGGAGCUUCGGUUCUUGACGGUACCUGCAGAAAAAGCACCGGCUAACUACGUGCCAGCAGCCGCGGUAAUACGUAGGGUGCAAGCGUUGUCCGGAAUUAUUGGGCGUAAAGAGC
This 500-nucleotide ribosomal RNA is filed under the name Curtobacterium herbarum. RNAcentral describes it as "bacterial SSU rRNA". It matches the Rfam family "Bacterial small subunit ribosomal RNA", at positions 64 to 568 of the family's 1533-position model. The record is from RNAcentral. Lineage: Bacteria; Bacillati; Actinomycetota; Actinomycetes; Micrococcales; Microbacteriaceae.